GAUGAACGCUGGCGGCGUGCUUAACACAUGCAAGUCGAGCGAAGCACUCUGUCCGGAUUCUUUCGGGAUGACGGACUUAGUGACUGAGCGGCGGACGGGUGAGUAACGCGUGGGUAACCUGCCUCAUACAGGGGGAUAACAGUUAGAAAUGACUGCUAAUACCGCAUAAGACCACAGUACCGCAUGGUACAGGGGUAAAACUCCGGUGGUAUGAGAUGGACCCGCGUCUGAUUAGCUGGUUGGUGGGUAACGGCCGUACCGAAGGCGACGAUCAGUAGCCGGCCUGAGAGGCGACGGCCACAUUGGGACUGAGACACGGCCCAAACUCCUACGGGAGGCAGCAGUGGGGAAUAUUGCACAAUGGGCGAAAGCCUGAUGCAGCGACGCCGCGUGAGCGAUGAAGUA
This 405-nucleotide ribosomal RNA is filed under the name uncultured bacterium. Its description in RNAcentral is "bacterial SSU rRNA". It matches the Rfam family "Bacterial small subunit ribosomal RNA", at positions 28 to 415 of the family's 1533-position model. The record is from RNAcentral.